Trifolium pratense (red clover) is the source of this 1010-nucleotide long non-coding RNA. RefSeq lists it as uncharacterized. The transcript has 9 exons. Lineage: Eukaryota; Viridiplantae; Streptophyta; Magnoliopsida; Fabales; Fabaceae. The record is from RefSeq and is a predicted model, not a curated record.
UCUUGUGGAACGACGUCGUUUCUUUGAAGAAGAAGAAGAUGGAGCACACAAGUAUGAACUCCGGCGAGUUUCCGGUAUGCUAAUUAGUGAAAAGAAUAUAAAAAUUCUUUCUUUCUUCUUCAAGAAACAAACACGCACACAUGUGUGGUGUUCGGUGGGUCGUUCAAAGAUCAAGAAACGAUUCUCCAGAGUUGUUCGUCGUUCUUUCCGUCACACAUAUUCAUCGAGUUGUUCAUCUCUCAAAUUUUACGGUUCACCGAGCUGAUGUCGCACAGAUUCACCGAUGUUUCAGGUUGGUUUCCUUGCUCCAUUCACAUAAGUUUCAAAGGUUAAAGACACAUUUGGUGUGUACAUUUCAAAAAGGUUGAAAGAAGCUUAAGAAGGUGCAUUUCAAAGAAAGAAGCUAAGAAGGUGACAAUACUUUUGAAGGAAUGCCAAGACAUCCAAGUUCAUUUUAACCUUCAAGGACAUCAAUGGACUAGUUGAGCAGAAUGUCCAACUCAGAAAUCAGGAGGUGGAAUUUAAGUGUUCAGGUUCGACGGUGAUUUGGAAACUGAAAUCUCAUGGAACUGUUAGUGGAAGACUGUAACUGAAGUUAAAAGCAUCCUGGUGGGUAAGGGGAAGGUUGAUGGUUCAGGUGUUGGUGUUAAUGUGGCUUCAUGCCAAAUUAUAGCAACUUUCUAUCCAAAAAAAUGAAAAGUCAGAUCAAGAGGUUGGGUUAAUAGGUUUGCGAAUGCUGGUGAUACUGCGACGGAAGUUUCUGGGAAUACAGCAUUACAGGGUGACCCAAAAAUGCUGGAUGAUGCCUAAAUGUGAAAGCUAGUUGUUGACCCUAGUCCCUAAAUGCUAUUAUCUAUUGUGCUUUGAUGGAUCCUUAGUCCCUAAAUGCAAUUUUGCAAUCACAAUACGAAGUGAUUUUGCAAAUACAAAAGAAAGUGUUUCCCUGUGUUUGAUUGGCCCACUGAUAAGGGUUUCAAAGGAAUUCUCUAAGGAAGAAACAAAUUAACUGA